GUGCCAGCAGCCGCGGUAAUACAGAGGGUGCGAGCGUUAAUCGGAAUUACUGGGCGUAAAGCGUGCGUAGACGGUUAUGUAAGUCAGGUGUGAAAGCCCCGGGCUCAACCUGGGAAUUGCAUUUGAGACUGCAUAGCUAGGGUGCGGAAGAGGGAAGCGGAAUUUCCGGUGUAGCGGUGAAAUGCGUAGAUAUCGGAAGGAACAUCAGUGGCGAAAGCGGCUUCCUGGUCCAGCACCGACGUUCAGGCACGAAAGCGUGGGGAGCAAACAGGAUUAGAAACCCUCGUAGUCC
Molecule: ribosomal RNA, 292 nt
Filed under: uncultured bacterium
Lineage: Bacteria
Description: partial 16S ribosomal RNA
Rfam family: Bacterial small subunit ribosomal RNA
Source: RNAcentral